UACGGAGGGGACUAGCGUUGUUCGGAAUUACUGGGCGUAAAGCGCACGUAGGCGGAUUGGAAAGUUGGGGGUGAAAUCCCAGGGCUCAACCCUGGAACUGCCUCCAAAACUAUCAGUCUAGAGUUCGAGAGAGGUGAGUGGAAUUCCGAGUGUAGAGGUGAAAUUCGUAGAUAUUCGGAGGAACACCAGUGGCGAAGGCGGCUCACUGGCUCGAUACUGACGCUGAGGUGCGAAAGUGUGGGGAGCAAAC
Molecule: ribosomal RNA, 250 nt
Filed under: uncultured bacterium
Lineage: Bacteria
Description: partial 16S ribosomal RNA
Rfam family: Bacterial small subunit ribosomal RNA
Source: RNAcentral